RNAcentral lists this transfer RNA (71 nucleotides) under Scyris indica (Indian threadfish). RNAcentral describes it as "tRNA-Asp". It matches the Rfam family "tRNA". From Rfam's summary of the family: Transfer RNA (tRNA) molecules are approximately 80 nucleotides in length. Their secondary structure includes four short double-helical elements and three loops (D, anti-codon, and T loops). Further hydrogen bonds mediate the characteristic L-shaped molecular structure. tRNAs have two regions of fundamental functional importance: the anti-codon, which is responsible for specific mRNA codon recognition, and the 3' end, to which the tRNAs corresponding amino acid is attached (by aminoacyl-tRNA synthetases). tRNAs cope with the degeneracy of the genetic code in two manners: having more than one tRNA (with a specific anti-codon) for a particular amino acid; and 'wobble' base-pairing, i.e. permitting non-standard base-pairing at the 3rd anti-codon position. Lineage: Eukaryota; Metazoa; Chordata; Actinopteri; Carangiformes; Carangidae. The record is from RNAcentral.
AAGACACUAGUAAAAUUCUAUUACACUGCCUUGUCAAGGCAAAGUUGUGGGUGGAACCCCCGCGUGUCUUG